UGGGGAAUUUUGGACAAUGGGGGCAACCCUGAUCCAGCAAUGCCGCGUGAGUGAAGAAGGCCUUCGGGUUGUAAAGCUCUUUUGUCAGGGAAGAAAAGGUUGUGGCUAAUAUCUGCGACUCAUGACGGUACCUGAAGAAUAAGCACCGGCUAACUACGUGCCAGCAGCCGCGGUAAUACGUAGGGUGCAAGCGUUAAUCGGAAUUACUGGGCGUAAAGCGUGCGCAGGCGGUUUUGUAAGACUGUCGUGAAAUCCCCGGGCUCAACCUGGGAAUGGCGAUGGUGACUGCAAGGCUAGAGUUUGGCAGAGGGGGGUAGAAUUCCACGUGUAGCAGUGAAAUGCGUAGAUAUGUGGAGGAACACCGAUGGCGAAGGCAGCCCCCUGGGUCAAAACUGACGCUCAUGCACGAAAGCGUGGGGAGCAAACAGGAUUAGAUACCCCUGUAGUCC
This 449-nucleotide ribosomal RNA is filed under the name uncultured bacterium. RNAcentral's name for it is "bacterial SSU rRNA". It matches the Rfam family "Bacterial small subunit ribosomal RNA", at positions 355 to 796 of the family's 1533-position model. The record is from RNAcentral.